AGCGAACGCUGGCGGCAGACUUAACACAUGCAAGUCGAACGCCCCGCAAGGGGAGUGGCAGACGGGUGAGUAACACGUGGGAACGUACCCUUUGGUUCGGAAUAACUUGGGGAAACUCAAGCUAAUACCGGAUAAGCCCUUAUGGGGAAAGGUUUACUGCCGAAGGAUCGGCCCGCGUCUGAUUAGCUAGUUGGUGAGGUAAUGGCUCACCAAGGCGACGAUCAGUAGCUGGUCUGAGAGGAUGAUCAGCCACACUGGGACUGAGACACGGCCCAGACUCCUACGGGAGGCAGCGGUGGGGAAUACUGGACAAUGGGGGCAACCCUGAUCCAGCCAUGCCGCGUGAGUGAUGAAGGCCUUAGGGUUGUAGAGCUCUUUUACCCGGGACGAUAAUGACUGUACCGGGAGAAUAAGCCCCGGCUAACUUCGUGCCAGCCGCCGCAGUAA
Molecule: ribosomal RNA, 447 nt
Filed under: uncultured bacterium
Lineage: Bacteria
Description: partial 16S ribosomal RNA
Rfam family: Bacterial small subunit ribosomal RNA
Source: RNAcentral